This 383-nucleotide ribosomal RNA is filed under the name uncultured eukaryote. Its description in RNAcentral is "partial 18S ribosomal RNA". It matches the Rfam family "Eukaryotic small subunit ribosomal RNA", at positions 592 to 976 of the family's 1831-position model. The record is from RNAcentral.
CAAUAGCGUAUAUUAAAGUUGUUGCAGUUAAAAAGCUCGUAGUUGGAUUUCUGGUGGGAGCGAUCGGUCUGGCGCUUAGCGCGAGUACUUGCAUCGUCUCCGGCCAUCCUUGGGGAGAGUCUGUCUGGCAUUAAGUUGUCGGGCAGAGGAUCCUCAUCGUUUACUGUGAAAAAAUUAGAGUGUUCAAAGCAGGCUUAUGCCGUUGAAUAUAUUAGCAUGGAAUAAUAAGAUAGGACUUUGGUACUAUUUUGUUGGUUUGCGCACCAAAGUAAUGAUUAAUAGGGACAGUUGGGGGUAUUCGUAUUCCGUUGUCAGAGGUGGAAUUCUUGGAUUUACGGAAGACGAACUACUGCGAAAGCAUUUACCAAGGAUGUUUUCAUUAA